This 658-nucleotide ribosomal RNA is filed under the name Verrucosispora sp. PC1002. RNAcentral's name for it is "bacterial SSU rRNA". It matches the Rfam family "Bacterial small subunit ribosomal RNA", at positions 63 to 739 of the family's 1533-position model. The record is from RNAcentral. Lineage: Bacteria; Bacillati; Actinomycetota; Actinomycetes; Micromonosporales; Micromonosporaceae.
CGAGCGGAAGGCCCUUCGGGGUACUCGAGCGGCGAACGGGUGAGUAACACGUGAGCAACCUGCCCUAGGCUUUGGGAUAACCCUCGGAAACGGGGGCUAAUACCGAAUAUUCACUUGCGGGCGCAUGUUUGUGGGUGGAAAGUUUUUCGGCUUGGGAUGGGCUCGCGGCCUAUCAGCUUGUUGGUGGGGUGAUGGCCUACCAAGGCGACGACGGGUAGCCGGCCUGAGAGGGCGACCGGCCACACUGGGACUGAGACACGGCCCAGACUCCUACGGGAGGCAGCAGUGGGGAAUAUUGCACAAUGGGCGGAAGCCUGAUGCAGCGACGCCGCGUGAGGGAUGACGGCCUUCGGGUUGUAAACCUCUUUCAGCAGGGACGAAGCGCGAGUGACGGUACCUGCAGAAGAAGCGCCGGCCAACUACGUGCCAGCAGCCGCGGUAAGACGUAGGGCGCGAGCGUUGUCCGGAUUUAUUGGGCGUAAAGAGCUCGUAGGCGGCUUGUCGCGUCGACUGUGAAAACCCACGGCUCAACUGUGGGCUUGCAGUCGAUACGGGCAGGCUAGAGUUCGGUAGGGGAGACUGGAAUUCCUGGUGUAGCGGUGAAAUGCGCAGAUAUCAGGAGGAACACCGGUGGCGAAGGCGGGUCUCUGGGCCGAAA